Molecule: non-coding RNA, 19 nt
Filed under: Arabidopsis thaliana (thale cress)
Lineage: Eukaryota; Viridiplantae; Streptophyta; Magnoliopsida; Brassicales; Brassicaceae
Source: RNAcentral
GGGAUGUAGCUCAGAUGGU